RNAcentral lists this ribosomal RNA (301 nucleotides) under uncultured bacterium. RNAcentral's name for it is "partial 16S ribosomal RNA". It matches the Rfam family "Bacterial small subunit ribosomal RNA", at positions 509 to 807 of the family's 1533-position model. The record is from RNAcentral.
CAGCCGCCGCGGUAAUACGGAGGGUGCAAGCGUUAAUCGGAAUUACUGGGCGUAAAGCGUGCGUAGGCGGUUCGUUAAGUCUGUUGUGAAAGUCCCGGGCUCAACCUGGGAAUGGCAAUGGAUACUGGCGAGCUAGAGUGUGUCAGAGGAUGGUGGAAUUCCCGGUGUAGCGGUGAAAUGCGUAGAGAUCGGGAGGAACAUCAGUGGCGAAGGCGGCCAUCUGGGACAACACUGACGCUGAGGCACGAAAGCGUGGGGAGCAAACAGGAUUAGAUACCCGAGUAGUCCCUGUCUCUUAUAC